Molecule: ribosomal RNA, 253 nt
Filed under: uncultured bacterium
Lineage: Bacteria
Description: partial 16S ribosomal RNA
Rfam family: Bacterial small subunit ribosomal RNA
Source: RNAcentral
GACGUAGGGGGCCAGCGUUGUUCGGAAUUACUGGGUGUAAAGGGUUCGUAGGCGGUGCGGCAAGUUGGGAGUGAAAUCUCUGGGCUUAACCCAGAGGCUGCUUCCAAAACUGCUGUGCUUGAGUGUGGGAGAGGCGCGUGGAAUUGCAGGUGUAGCGGUGAAAUGCGUAGAUAUCUGCAGGAACACCCGUGGCGAAAGCGGCGCGCUGGACCACUACUGACGCUGAGGAACGAAAACUAGGGGAGCAAACAGG